GAUGGCUCAGUGGUUAGAGCACUGGCCGCUCUUCCAGAGGACCUGGGUUCAAUUCCCAGCAUCC
This 64-nucleotide transfer RNA is filed under the name Rattus norvegicus (Norway rat). The stretch from base 3 to 59 matches the Rfam family "tRNA", at positions 8 to 63 of the family's 71-position model. From Rfam's summary of the family: Transfer RNA (tRNA) molecules are approximately 80 nucleotides in length. Lineage: Eukaryota; Metazoa; Chordata; Mammalia; Rodentia; Muridae. The record is from Rfam by way of RNAcentral.